Molecule: non-coding RNA, 745 nt
Organism: Danio rerio (zebrafish)
Lineage: Eukaryota; Metazoa; Chordata; Actinopteri; Cypriniformes; Danionidae
Source: RefSeq, a predicted model, not a curated record
AGGAACCACCACAUUUCUUUCAGCUUUUCAAGGCCCCACCACAAUGAAUACCACAUCAGCUAUUGCACAAAAGCCUUUCAGAGUUGUUGGACUGAAAGUGUUAUUUAGCACAAAUGUGGAUCUAACAGAUGCAAGCUUCAAACUAAUUUUGCAGCAAGUGAAAAACCAGCUGGUCUAUUAUGGUCUUGGAAGCAACAUAGUUCUGACAUCAAGAGACCUGCGAAAGAUUGUUAUCUAACAUAUUAUUAGAGUCUUUCAGGAAAAGAAAAGUGAAAAACUCUCUUAAACAUGAUCGUUUAAUAGUUUAAAUCUUUAAACAGGACAUGCAACCCAAUGCAAAUCACCAAUAUUUACAAUUCAAUUCGAUGUAUAAUAAAUGUGUACUGAACUGUAAAUGUAAAUCUCACCUCAGGCUCCUGCAAGCCUCUUAUCCUCUCUGUCCCCCUGUGAAUAAAAACAGAUGAUUUUAGGUGUUUAAAUAGAAUAUCGAAAUAUAUCUAAAUACAUAUCUAUUUAACAGUUUUGGUGUAUUUUUUAUGGUUGUAUGUACAUGGAUGCAUAUAAAAACUAUAGCUGGUUUCAUUAUUUAGAAUUUUUUCGAUAAGGAUAUUACUGUUAAUAUUGUCAUCGGUGACCUGUCAGUUAUGAACAAUAGUAAUAAAAGUAGGGCAGCACAGUGGCUCAGUGGUUAGCAUUGUCGCCUCACAGCAGGAAGGGUGAUAGUUCAAGUACCGGUGGGGUCAGU